CUACGCACUCCUACGGGAGGCAGCAGUGGGGAAUAUUGGACAAUGGGCGCAAGCCUGAUCCAGCCAUGCCGCGUGAGUGAUGAAGGCCCUAGGGUUGUAAAGCUCUUUUGUGCGGGAAGAUAAUGACGGUACCGCAAGAAUAAGCCCCGGCUAACUUCGUGCCAGCAGCCGCGGUAAUACGAAGGGGGCUAGCGUUGCUCGGAAUCACUGGGCGUAAAGGGUGCGUAGGCGGGGUCUUUAAGUCAGGGGUGAAAUCCUGGAGCUCAACUCCAGAACUGCCUUUGAUACUGAAGAUCUUGAGUUCGGGAGAGGUGAGUGGAACUGCGAGUGUAGAGGUGAAAUUCGUAGAUAUUCGCAAGAACACCAGUGGCGAAGGCGGCUCACUGGCCCGAUACUGACGCUGAGGCACGAAAGCGUGGGGAGCAAACAGGAUUAGAUACCCUGGUAG
Molecule: ribosomal RNA, 448 nt
Filed under: uncultured bacterium
Lineage: Bacteria
Description: bacterial SSU rRNA
Rfam family: Bacterial small subunit ribosomal RNA
Source: RNAcentral